GCCGCGGUGGCGGAACUGGAAUACGCGCAGGGCUCAGAACUCUGUCCCCGCAAGGGGUUGUGGGUUCGACUCCCACCCGCGGCA
This 84-nucleotide transfer RNA is filed under the name Patescibacteria group bacterium. Its description in RNAcentral is "tRNA-Leu". It matches the Rfam family "tRNA". From Rfam's summary of the family: Transfer RNA (tRNA) molecules are approximately 80 nucleotides in length. Their secondary structure includes four short double-helical elements and three loops (D, anti-codon, and T loops). The record is from RNAcentral. RNAcentral also lists the same sequence under 1 other name.